This 253-nucleotide ribosomal RNA is filed under the name uncultured bacterium. RNAcentral describes it as "partial 16S ribosomal RNA". It matches the Rfam family "Bacterial small subunit ribosomal RNA", at positions 524 to 776 of the family's 1533-position model. The record is from RNAcentral.
UACGUCGGGGGCAAGCGUUGUCCGGAAUCAUUGGGCGUAAAGAGCGCGUAGGCGGCCCUGUAAGUCCGCUGUGAAAGUCAAGGGCUCAACCCUUGGAUGCCGGUGGAUACUGCAGGGCUAGAGUCCGGAAGAGGCGAGUGGAAUUCCUGGUGUAGCGGUGAAAUGCGCAGAUAUUAGGAGGAACACCGGUGGCGAAGGCGCUGCUCUGGGCCGAUACUGACGCUGAGGAGCGAAAGCGUGGGUAGCAAACAGG